GGCCUACGGGUGGCUGCAGUAAGGAAUAUUGCACAAUGGGCGCAAGCCUGAUGCAGCAACGCCGCGUGAGCGAUGAAGGCCUUCGGGUCGUAAAGCUCUUUUCCCAGGGAAGAGGAAGGACGGUACCUGGGGAAUAAGUCACGGCUAACUACGUGCCAGCAGCCGCGGUAAAACGUAGGUGGCAAGCGUUAUCCGGAUUCACUGGGCGUAAAGCGCACGCAGGCGGCCUGGAAAGUAGGGCAUGAAAUCUCCCGGCUUAACUGGGAGGGGUUGUCCUAUACUACCGGGCUUGAGGAUGGGAGAGGGAAGCGGAACUGCCGGUGUAGUGGUGAAAUGCGUAGAGAUCGGCAAGAACACCAGUGGCGAAGGCGGCUUUCUGGCCCAUUCCUGACGCUCAGGUGCGAAAGCUAGGGGAGUGAACGGGAUUAGAUACCCCGGUAGUCG
Molecule: ribosomal RNA, 444 nt
Filed under: uncultured bacterium
Lineage: Bacteria
Description: bacterial SSU rRNA
Rfam family: Bacterial small subunit ribosomal RNA
Source: RNAcentral